This is a long non-coding RNA of Artibeus jamaicensis (Jamaican fruit-eating bat), 372 nucleotides long. RefSeq lists it as uncharacterized. The transcript is spliced from 3 exons. NCBI's taxonomy places the organism in Eukaryota, Metazoa, Chordata, Mammalia, Chiroptera, Phyllostomidae. The record is from RefSeq and is a predicted model, not a curated record.
CUCCAUCCUGCAAGCCCAGAGCAGGCUGGGGACCCCACGUGAAGCUCCCUCUGCUGGUAACCCUGGGGGGUCUGCCUGGACCAUGUGUUGCCCUGGUUCCCUCAAGUGCAGUGAAGUCCUGGGCAUCCUUCAAAACCUCACUCAAAGGAACAUCACUUUUCCACAAAAUGUUAGAAUGCCUGGCAUGAGCUUCAAAAUACUUCCACAGGAGAGGGGUGAAUGGAGGGCCAGUAAAACCUCCCACACUGUCGGGCCCUUUUGCGAAGACUAAGUGAGACAGCAUCUGUAAAGCAGCUGGGCUACAGCAAGCCAGUGUCCAUCUCCCCUUAUCGAAGGUAUGUCUGUAAAUCGUUUAUUGGAAAAGUUGCAUAC